AUCCCUACACAGCACAAGCUGUGAGGAAGCCCUUCUCCUCCUGCACCUGCAGGGACCUUGCAGUUGGACAAACACAGCACAGCCAUGUCCCACUGGAACCAAGCAUGACUCUACCUUUGAAACAGUGAAUAAGAGCUCCAAGGAAGGAGGAAAUAGCCUGUCUUCAGGAAGCUUGAUCUCAGCUUCUUUCAGUGAGGCACUCAGUUUAGUUUUUGCUCUGAAGAUUUUAGCACCUCUCCCAAUGGAGUCAUUUUGCACUGCACAAUCGAGAGAUCUCAGGAGAUUCCAGGUUUUGUCCAUUGCU
This 304-nucleotide long non-coding RNA is filed under the name Coturnix japonica (Japanese quail). RNAcentral describes it as "lncRNA (ENSCJPG00005017045.1)". The record is from RNAcentral. Lineage: Eukaryota; Metazoa; Chordata; Aves; Galliformes; Phasianidae.